RNAcentral lists this ribosomal RNA (119 nucleotides) under Pteropus alecto (black flying fox). Lineage: Eukaryota; Metazoa; Chordata; Mammalia; Chiroptera; Pteropodidae. The record is from RNAcentral.
UGCUACAGCCAUGCUGCCCUGAAUGUGCUCGAUCUUGUCAGGUCUCAGAAGCUAAACAGGGUCGGGCCUGGUUAGUACUUGGAUGGGAGACUGCCUAGGAAUACCAGAUGCUGUAGGCG